GUGAGGAAUAUUGCCCAAUGGACGCAAGUCUGAGGCAGCAACGCCGCGUGGGCGAUGAAGGCCUUCGGGUUGUAAAGCCCUUUUCCGGGGGAAGAGGAAGGACGGUACCUCAGGAAUAAGUCACGGCUAACUACGUGCCAGCAGCCGCGGUAAUACGUAGGUGGCAAGCGUUAUCCGGAUUCACUGGGCGUAAAGCGCGUGCAGGCGGUUUCGUAAGUCGGACGUGAAAGCUCCUGGCUUAACUGGGAGAGGUCGUUCGAUACUGCGGGGCUUGAGGUCGGGAGAGGGACGUGGAAUUCCCGGUGUAGUGGUGGAAUGCGUAGAUAUCGGGAGGAACACCAGUGGCGAAGGCGACGUCCUGGUCCGCACCUGACGCUGAGACGCGAAAGCGUGGGUAGCGAACGG
RNAcentral lists this ribosomal RNA (405 nucleotides) under uncultured bacterium. Its description in RNAcentral is "bacterial SSU rRNA". It matches the Rfam family "Bacterial small subunit ribosomal RNA", at positions 354 to 775 of the family's 1533-position model. The record is from RNAcentral.